This 468-nucleotide ribosomal RNA is filed under the name uncultured bacterium. RNAcentral describes it as "partial 16S ribosomal RNA". It matches the Rfam family "Bacterial small subunit ribosomal RNA", at positions 28 to 507 of the family's 1533-position model. The record is from RNAcentral.
GACGAACGCUGGCGGCGUGCUUAACACAUGCAAGUCGAACGGAAAGGCCCUGCUUUUGUGGGGUGCUCGAGUGGCGAACGGGUGAGUAACACGUGAGUAACCUGCCCUUGACUUUGGGAUAACUUCAGGAAACUGGGGCUAAUACCGGAUAGGAGCUCCUGCUGCAUGGUGGGGGUUGGAAAGUUUCGGCGGUUGGGGAUGGACUCGCGUCUUAUCAGCUUGUUGGUGGGGUAGUGGCUUACCAAGGCUUUGACGGGUAGCCGGCCUGAGAGGGUGACCGGCCACAUUGGGACUGUGAUACGGCCCAGACUCCUACGGGAGGCAGCAGUGGGGAAUAUUGCACAAUGGGCGGAAGCCUGAUGCAGCAACGCCGCGUGCGGGAUGACGGCCUUCGGGUUGUAAACCGCUUUCGCCUGUGACGAAGCGUGAGUGACGGUAAUGGGUAAAGAAGCACCGGCUAACUACGUG